RNAcentral lists this ribosomal RNA (1369 nucleotides) under uncultured bacterium. Its description in RNAcentral is "bacterial SSU rRNA". It matches the Rfam family "Bacterial small subunit ribosomal RNA", at positions 28 to 1381 of the family's 1533-position model. The record is from RNAcentral.
GACGAACGCUGGCGGCGUGCCUAAUACAUGCAAGUAGAACGCUGAAGAGAGGAGCUUGCUCUUCUUGGAUGAGUUGCGAACGGAUGAGUAACGCGUAGGUAACCUGCCUUGUAGCGGGGGAUAACUAUUGGAAACGAUAGCUAAUACCGCAUAACAAUGGAUGACACAUGUCAUUUAUUUGAAAGGGGCAAUUGCUCCACUACAAGAUGGACCUGCGUUGUAUUAGCUAGUAGGUGAGGUAACGGCUCACCUAGGCGACGAUACAUAGCCGACCUGAGAGGGUGAUCGGCCACACUGGGACUGGGACACGGCCCAGACUCCUACGGGAGGCAGCAGUAGGGAAUCUUCGGCAAUGGGGGCAACCCUGACCGAGCAACGCCGCGUGAGUGAAGAAGGUUUUCGGAUCGUAAAGCUCUGUUGUAAGUCAAGAACGAGUGUGAGAGUGGAAAGUUCACACUGUGACGGUAGCUUACCAGAAAGGGACGGCUAACUACGUGCCAGCAGCCGCGGUAAUACGUAGGUCCCGAGCGUUGUCCGGAUUUAUUGGGCGUAAAGCGAGCGCAGGCGGUUUGAUAAGUCUGAAGUUAAAGGCUGUGGCUCAACCAUAGUUCGCUUUGGAAACUGUCAAACUUGAGUGCAGAAGGGGAGAGUGGAAUUCCAUGUGUAGCGGUGAAAUGCGUAGAUAUAUGGAGGAACACCGGUGGCGAAAGCGGCUCUCUGGUCUGUAACUGACGCUGAGGCUCGAAAGCGUGGGGAGCGAACAGGAUUAGAUACCCUGGUAGUCCACGCCGUAAACGAUGAGUGCUAGGUGUUGGAUCCUUUCCGGGAUUCAGUGCCGCAGCUAACGCAUUAAGCACUCCGCCUGGGGAGUACGACCGCAAGGUUGAAACUCAAAGGAAUUGACGGGGGCCCGCACAAGCGGUGGAGCAUGUGGUUUAAUUCGAAGCAACGCGAAGAACCUUACCAGGUCUUGACAUCCCGAUGCUAUUUCUAGAGAUAGAAAGUUACUUCGGUACAUCGGUGACAGGUGGUGCAUGGUUGUCGUCAGCUCGUGUCGUGAGAUGUUGGGUUAAGUCCCGCAACGAGCGCAACCCCUAUUGUUAGUUGCCAUCAUUCAGUUGGGCACUCUAGCGAGACUGCCGGUAAUAAACCGGAGGAAGGUGGGGAUGACGUCAAAUCAUCAUGCCCCUUAUGACCUGGGCUACACACGUGCUACAAUGGUUGGUACAACGAGUUGCGAGUCGGUGACGGCAAGCUAAUCUCUUAAAGCCAAUCUCAGUUCGGAUUGUAGGCUGCAACUCGCCUACAUGAAGUCGGAAUCGCUAGUAAUCGCGGAUCAGCACGCCGCGGUGAAUACGUUCCCGGGCCU